Molecule: ribosomal RNA, 433 nt
Filed under: uncultured bacterium
Lineage: Bacteria
Description: partial 16S ribosomal RNA
Rfam family: Bacterial small subunit ribosomal RNA
Source: RNAcentral
AACGAACGCUGGCGGCAUGCCUAACACAUGCAAGUCGAACGAGACCUUCGGGUAUAGUGGCGAACGGGUGCGUAACGCGUGGGAACCUGCCCUUAGGUUCGGAAUAACUCCCCGAAAGGGGUGCUAAUACCGGAUAAUGUCUUCGGACCAAAGAUUUAUCGCCUUUGGAUGGGCCCGCGUUGGAUUAGCUAGUUGGUAGGGUAAAAGCCUACCAAGGCGACGAUCCAUAGCUGGUCUGAGAGGAUGAUCAGCCACACUGGGACUGAGACACGGCCCAGACUCCUACGGGAGGCAGCAGUGGGGAAUAUUAGACAAUGGGCGAAAGCCUGAUCCAGCAAUGCCGCGUGAGUGAUGAAGGCCUUAGGGUUGUAAAGCUCUUUUACCCGGGAUGAUAAUGACAGUACCGGGAGAAUAAGCUCCGGCUAACUCCGUG